Long non-coding RNA from Polypterus senegalus (gray bichir), 313 nucleotides. RefSeq lists it as uncharacterized. NCBI's taxonomy places the organism in Eukaryota, Metazoa, Chordata, Cladistia, Polypteriformes, Polypteridae. The transcript has 3 exons. The record is from RefSeq and is a predicted model, not a curated record.
CACACCUUCCACCAUGUCCUUGGUUUGCUCUCAGUGACCAGUAUUUUGUGUUCUUUCUCCUGGUGGAACUUCCUGGACUAAGCUAGACCUAGCUGGCCUCGGAGAGAAAGAGGUUGAGAAUAUUUCACAGCAAUGUUACAGUGAUGUGGAAGAGUCUGGCCACGUAAUGGGGCAGCAGUUAAAGAAGAAGGAAGGAGAGAUGUGUGCCCUGUUGAAGUAGCGGCUGCCCCUCCUGCCCGCACUUCUAGAAUCCUCCAUCUCAAUCCCUGCUCUGAUCUGCUGUGCCUUUUCCAAGUGAUCUCUCAUUACACUG